UGACGAAAGGAAAACACUCCUACACAAACUUGCGCCCUACCACAUGGCUCCAGGCCAAUUCUCCAGGCAGCCUGGGCCUUGUGCUCACAGCUCCCUCCUGAAGCUGCUGUGCAUCCAGGGGUGACACUCUCUGCAGGGGAGCCUUCUGGACUCGGAGGAGGGCUGGGGUGGACCUGUCACCCCCCCAGGUCCCUUACUAUUAUACUCCCUCUGAUGACCUCAACUGAAUCAAUGCAACCAGUGUCACUGUACCACAUUAUACUGCUGCUGCCUUUUUGUUUUGGGUUUUAUCCAGAAAUGCCAAGCCUGAGAUGUCAAACUUCUAACUCCAACAGACUGGUGAGACCUUUCCUAACACAUGGGACUACCCAGCUCCAUUUCAGAUGGCAUGCUCUCUAACAAAGUUGCAGAUCCUAGAUCCACAAGUUGGGGGCAACUCUAUACUUCAAACCACCAGAUCCCGGAUGCCAGCAUGAGGCUGACCAGACUUCCCUGGACUGACGACCCCACCAAUAUGUCCUGUAGCUGCACUUCCCCAGAGCCCCAUCAUACAAGGGAAAGAGAGAGGCAGAUUGGGAGUAUGGAUCCACCACUCAACGUCCAUGUUCAGUGGGGAAGCAAUUACAGAAGCCAGACCUUCCACCUUCUGCAACCCACAAUGACCCUCGGUCCAUGCUCCCAGAGGGAUAGAGAAUGGGAAAGCUAUCAGGGGAUGGGAUGGGAUAUGGAUAUCGGUUGGUGGGAAUUGUGUGGAGUUGUACCCUUCUUAUCCUACAGUUUUGUUUAUGUCUCCUUUCUUAAAUAAAUAAAUUAAAAACAUAAAAAAAUAAAAAAGAAUUUAAAGAAACAUUUAUAGAAAAAGAAAUUGCAAAGUAAAACUUGGACUUGAUGUUAGACCAAAGCAAAGGACUUUGAAGAAGAAGGGGAAGAAUGAAGGGAAAAGGAAGUGAUGAAGAG
Molecule: long non-coding RNA, 957 nt
Organism: Erinaceus europaeus (western European hedgehog)
Lineage: Eukaryota; Metazoa; Chordata; Mammalia; Eulipotyphla; Erinaceidae
Exons: 3
Source: RefSeq, a predicted model, not a curated record